GAUGAACGCUGGCGGCGUGCCUAAUACAUGCAAGUCGAGCGAACAGACGAGGAGCUUGCUCCUCUGACGUUAGCGGCGGACGGGUGAGUAACACGUGGAUAACCUACCUAUAAGACUGGGAUAACUUCGGGAAACCGGAGCUAAUACCGGAUAACAUGUUGAACCGCAUGGUUCAACGGUGAAAGACGGUCUUGCUGUCGCUUAUAGAUGGAUCCGCGCCGCAUUAGCUAGUUGGUAAGGUAACGGCUUACCAAGGCAACGAUGCGUAGCCGACCUGAGAGGGUGAUCGGCCACACUGGAACUGAGACACGGUCCAGACUCCUACGGGAGGCAGCAGUAGGGAAUCUUCCGCAAUGGGCGAAAGCCUGACGGAGCAACGCCGCGUGAGUGAAGAAGGUCUUCGGAUCGUAAAACUCUGUUAUUAGGGAAGAACAAAUGUGUAAGUAACUAUGCACGUCUUGACGGUACCUAAUCAGAAAGCCACGGCUAACUACGUG
This 497-nucleotide ribosomal RNA is filed under the name uncultured bacterium. Its description in RNAcentral is "partial 16S ribosomal RNA". It matches the Rfam family "Bacterial small subunit ribosomal RNA", at positions 28 to 507 of the family's 1533-position model. The record is from RNAcentral.